UUCCGUAGGGUAACCUGCGGAGGGAUCAUUACACAAAUAUGAAGGCGGGCUGGAACCUCUCGGGGUUACAGCCUUGCUGAAUUAUUCACCCUUGUCUUUUGCGUACUUCUUGUUUCCUUGGUGGGUUCGCCCACCACUAGGACAAACAUAAACCUUUUGUAAUUGCAAUCAGCGUCAGUAACAAAUUAAUAAUUACAACUUUCAACAACGGAUCUCUUGGUUCUGGCAUCGAUGAAGAACGCAGCGAAAUGCGAUAAGUAGUGUGAAUUGCAGAAUUCAGUGAAUCAUCGAAUCUUUGAACGCACAUUGCGCCCUUUGGUAUUCCAAAGGGCAUGCCUGUUCGAGCGUCAUUUGUACCCUCAAGCUUUGCUUGGUGUUGGGCGUCUUGUCUCUAGCUUUGCUGGAGACUCGCCUUAAAGUAAUUGGCAGCCGGCCUACUGGUUUCGGAGCGCAGCACAAGUCGCACUCUCUAUCAGCAAAGGUCUAGCAUCCAUUAAGCCUUUUUUUCAACUUUUGACCUCGGAUCAGGUAGGGAUACCCGCUGAACUUAAGCAUAUCAAUAAGCGG
RNAcentral lists this ribosomal RNA (567 nucleotides) under Alternaria brassicae. Its description in RNAcentral is "eukaryotic LSU rRNA". The stretch from base 197 to 350 matches the Rfam family "5.8S ribosomal RNA". The record is from RNAcentral. Lineage: Eukaryota; Fungi; Ascomycota; Dothideomycetes; Pleosporales; Pleosporaceae.